GUCCCCGUAGCUCAGCAGGAUAGAGCCACCGCCUCCUAAGCGGUAGGUCGGAUGUUCGAAUCAUCUCGGGGACGCCA
RNAcentral lists this transfer RNA (77 nucleotides) under hydrothermal vent metagenome. RNAcentral's name for it is "tRNA-Arg-CCT". It matches the Rfam family "tRNA". Rfam says of the family: Transfer RNA (tRNA) molecules are approximately 80 nucleotides in length. Their secondary structure includes four short double-helical elements and three loops (D, anti-codon, and T loops). The record is from RNAcentral.